This is a long non-coding RNA of Penaeus monodon (black tiger shrimp), 736 nucleotides long. RefSeq lists it as uncharacterized. The record is from RefSeq and is a predicted model, not a curated record. Lineage: Eukaryota; Metazoa; Arthropoda; Malacostraca; Decapoda; Penaeidae. The transcript is spliced from 2 exons.
GGAACAGUGAACGAGGGCAGACGUGUGGGUUGGUCGCUGGUGCCUCGUUGACUGAACUGACUGACACGGGGAGAGAGAAAGAAGUUUUCAGUCAGUUUGAAAAUCAAAGUGAAGCGUGACGUGACCAAGUGAAAAGAGAGAGAAAAAAAGACUAUUGAAAUUCAAGUAAAGACGAGAUCUUCUAGGAAAUCAACGGUGUUUGUAAAUAAAAGAGAAUAACUGAAAAAAGAUUCAAAUAGCCCAGAGAGUGACACGAGGCUUAAAGAAAAUCUGGCCAAAAUUUCAUGCUCGUUACUAUUUCCGAAGAAGAGAGGAGAGCGAGAGGAGAAAAUAAAUAAAUACACAAGUUUGGAUUGCAUUAUAAACACACGCGUUUGGAUUACAAUAUAAACCGGUGUUUCUAGAUGUCUAUUAAAGCGUCUAAUCCGAUAUUUUGAGAUGUCUGACGCUCUUUUGACAUCACUCAAAGACAGGCACUCAAUAGUAAGGCUGAAAAACAAGCGGUAACAAGAUAAUUAGAGGAAAAUAGAUUAGUGACUGUGUUUAUUAGAAAGACGUGAUUGAUUGGACGUGAUAAACCUACAUCACUUCAACAGAAAGAAAGAAAAAAUCUAAAAACCCGAACACCCCCCUUUUUUUGUAAAGAUGUACCCCCUACAAGAAAUAUAAAUCAACAAACUAUAUCGAUAUUUAAAGAUGUACCUUCAUCGCAUGUAAAAAAAAAAAAAAAAUACAA